AUGAUCAGCCAUGGAAAACACAUACACAGACACAAACGAGACGCACACACACAGUCUCUGCUAAAUACUGCAGAGGUGUCUACUCGCCCGUCGCUUUUUCUACACCUGACGGCUGCUGUCUUUCAUUCACUCGUCUUUAUGCCAGUUUCUGGCUCUUUCUCCUCAAUGUCUCACUUCAUUUUCCUCAUCUUUGUCCUGUCGCUCUCGUUACUGUCUUGUUCUUUCUUUCACAUUGCUGCCUUUCUUUUCUCUGUCUCAUCUUUUUUUUUAAAUUUCAUCUUUCUAGUACCAUCUCUCCUUGCCGCUGUCGCCUCUGGCGUGCUUAAGUUGGGGGACACUUCAUUUCCAGUGAUAUCGUUGACUUGAUUGCACAGAUACUAUUUAAACUGAACUGAGCUGGAUGACGACAUCACUGAAUUAAAUGAAGAACUGCCUUUAACUAAAAAAUGAGUGUUUACUAUUGUCAUUUUGCAUUAUUGACACUAUUUUCCUAAUUAAUGCUGUACAUUUGCUUUGACACAAUCUGUAUUGUUAAAAGCGCUGUAUAAAUAAAGGUGACUUGACUUGACUUGACUUGAUUCACAUCUCUCUCAUCUUUACCUCAUAUUUCUCAUCUCUUCCUCUGACACAUCUCGAUCUUCUUUGGUUUCAUGUUUUUUCCCAUUCGUCUCAUCUCUUUUUCAUUUUUUGUACCCCAUCUUUCUCCUGUCUCUGUCAUUACAGUCUCAUUCUUCCUCAGAUUUUUUUCCUUGCAUCUUUUUUCCUGUUUCAUCUCUUUCUCAGUUUUGUCUCUUUCACUUUUUUGCAUUGUCUCUCUCUCAUUCCCGUCUCCUCCUCCUGAUUUCUGCCUCCUCUCUUUCUCCUUUUUCUCUUCCAAGUAAAAAUGUUUCAUUUGCCUUAAAGAGGUCAUAUGAUGCGAUUUCAAUUUUUCCUUUUGGAGUGUUACAGGCUCUUGUUGCAUGAAGAAGAUCUCUAAAGUUGCAAAGACUAAAGUCUCAAAUCCAAAGAGAUAUUCUUUAUAAAACUUAAUAUUAUAUUUUUUAAAUAUCAGUUAUUCGGUUUUUAAAUGUGCCUUACACUCCCUCUGACGUGAAAUAAACCAAUAUCCCGAGUUAUUCAGUUACUCCUUACAGUACAUUGACUGAACUGCUAAAAGAGAACCGAUGAUGGGAUGUGCACGAGCAGAGCAACUGGACUGAGUCUCGUGCUGCUGGCCUGGGAGACGUCAUAGUAUAGGUUAAGAGGCAUAACAUUUCCGUCACACGCUUGAGGUAUUCAGCCAAUCACAACGCACUGGAUAGCUGGCCAAUCAGAGCACACCUUGCUUUUCAGACUGAUGAGCUUUGUAAAAAAAUAGUGUUUCAGAAAGGCGGGGCAUAGAGGAGAAACUAUAAUGUACAUUAUAUGGAAAAUAAUGUGUAAUUUGAUCCUUAAACUGCAUAAACACAUUGCAUUACACCAAAUAAUGUUCUUUUUAGCAGCAACAUAUGAUCCCUUUAACACUCUCUUCUCCUCUGUUUUCCAUCACCGUCUCAAAUCUUUCUUACAUCUCUCUCAUUGUUACCUCAUAUCUUUCUCAUCAGUCUCUGUAUUUUCUAUUUCUCCUCUUUCUGUCACAUCUUGAUCAACUUUGUUUCAUGUCCUUCUGCUGCUUUUCCCAGUCUAUUUAUCUUCAUUGCCUUGUCUUUUUGUCAUUCCUGUCUUAUCUUUGAUCUCUGCUCUCCUCUCGGUCUCAUCUGUAUCAUCUCUUUUUCCCCUUAGUCUUUGUAUGUAUUGUAAUUAUAUAUAUUGUAUACAUUUUUUUAUCUAAAUCAAGACAAACAGGACAGAAAGAGCAACAGAAAAAGACAGACAGGACACGGCAGACACAAAAAGUAAAAUUGCUCUAUAGGUCUGUAUACAGAGAGAUGCUGUAAAGGGUUAACGAGAGUGAAAGUGCUUAAAGCUCACAAUAGGCUAAAGUGUGUGUAUUCCAGGAAACAGGAUGUCCUUUUGUGUGCUGCAGUGUUAAAAUGAUGUGAAACUCUAUGACGUCACAGGCCGCUCUCCUUGAAAUGCAGCACCAUCACAUGUGUGUAUACGUGUCUACGUGAGAGAGCACAAACGUGCAUCUACCACUGCUUAGACAUUGCAAUCUAACAGAAACCCUGCAUUGUUUGCAAUCUGAAAGAGUCAGAGGAUGCAAGAGAAAACACACGAGGAGAGAGAUGCAGACAUGGCGCUGCUGCCGGAGAAUAAUUUAUGCACGACACAGAUCACACACAGAUGUCCAGAGAGAGAGAGAGAGAGAGAGAGACUGCACUGUUGGGAAAAUCUGCGGCGAUCAGAGGAAGUCAGCAUAGAAUGAAAUUCCUGGUGUAUGUGCAACCAUGACCCUGCCCUGACCUCUACUUCUUGCAUCAAAGAGGAUUACGGGACAGCUAACAGUCUGCCAAGAGUCUGACUGAAGUUAAAAAAUAGAAAAGUUGGAUAAAAAACAGACUGACUGGAAGACAUGUGUAUGAACAAAAUCAAUAUUAUCUGUCAAAUUCUUCCAAACAGCAUCAGGGAUUGUCUGCAUGAGAAGAAAGAGCAUUUGAAACACGGGAAUAUGUUAAAGCAUUUAGUGCUGGCUGUAUGAUUAUGAUUAUUAUUAUUAAAUGUAUUUAUUAAUCAUUUUACCUCAGUUAAGGGAUUACAAAAAAAUCAACUUCUUCCAUAUUUCACAUAUGUGUUCAAAGGAUGGCGUUCUGUCUCCAAAAACCAUAAAUGACAGUCAGACAUUUGCAAGACAUCUGUAUCCUGGCUGACCCUUCUAUGAACACUCCUGAAGAAAUGUGAGGCUCUUAAAGGCAUCUUAUGUUACGGAAUUAUAAAAUAUUGAUUAUAGAGGAAUGAAACGAUCCUGUGCAAAUUGUAAAAGCUGUGGUAAAUUACAGGGUGGAACAGAGCAGAGAGUCAACCGUGAUGCGACGACACCAGAACACUGCCAAUAUAAUCAAUGAAGCUGUCUACACUGCAAGUUUGUGAAGCCAUGUGACAAAACUAGAAUAUUUCCAUUAUAAUCAGCAAAUCUGUCUACAUUGCAUGCAAGUGAAGCUCCGCAACAAAGCAAUCCACAUUGCAAGAGUGAAAAGCAACAAAAGUAGAACUUUUGCAUUAUAAUCAACAAAGCUGUGUAUAAGCUGUGCAAGUGAGUGACACAACAAAUUUAGAAUGGUUGCAUUGUAAUCAAUAAAACCUACAUUGCAAAUGAGAAAUGCGACAAAACUUUUAACAAAUAUAGCCGUCUUUUGACACAGCAAGCAAUCAAAGCAAGGUGACAAAACUAGCUGUUAUAAUCAGCGAAUCUGUCUACAUUGCAUGCAAAAUGCUGCAACAAUGGGGCCUACACUGCAAGUGUGCAGAAAUGUGACAUAACAAAAGCUGAUAGCUGAUAACUGUUCGCUUGCAUAUACACUGCAUGCAAGCAAAGCAAGGUGACAAAAUUUGAAGUCUUACAUUUAAAUCAACAAAGCUGUGUACUCUGCAAACGAGUGGGGUGGAGCCGAGAGCCAUGGGAAUGGAGCGAGGCCAGUGGAGUUAAUGAUAAUGAGCGACACCUGCACCUCUCACCGGUCUUGAGUCCCACAGAGGAGCUCCGGAAAGGAUAAAAGAAGGAGUGACAACAGUGUUGGAUGAGAGAGGACCUGGCCUGGAUUUUUAAUGUUGUUUUGUUUCUGUUUGUGCGUGGCCUGUGAGGGGCUAUUUUCAGUUUUGUGUUUGUUUUAUUAUUAAAGGUUUGUUUAAAUGUUCACCGGUUCCAGCCUCCUCCUUCCUGAUCUAUGGAGUUUGUUACAAGUGCAACAAAUCCAGAAUCCUUGCAUUAUAAUCAAUAAAACCUACACUGUCAGCAGUAGUGUAGUGGUGCCCGGA
Molecule: long non-coding RNA, 3894 nt
Organism: Cyprinus carpio carpio
Lineage: Eukaryota; Metazoa; Chordata; Actinopteri; Cypriniformes; Cyprinidae
Source: Ensembl